AUGUCCGAAACCUCAGUAUUCAUAAAAGAGUAGUCGAGAAGUUCCCGGAUGUCCUACUGCUUCUGCCCAGCUUCUUGAGUGCUCGCCGAUGGUUACUUUUCUAUCCCAGGAGGCCACGCGAGAGGAUACAUCAUAAAGAAGAAGAAGAGGAUGCGUCAUAAUCGAACAUGGCGGAAAAUUUGGAUGAGGGUGUUUACACAUGGACAGAUGAGACACACGUCUGCUUAUCCGGCGGAGACGAGAGCGGCUAAUGAAGCAAUGCUGCCAUCAAAGGCUUUGAAGCUUUUGUGGUGGAGCAGGACCUGCAAGG
Long non-coding RNA from Sinocyclocheilus rhinocerous, 310 nucleotides. RefSeq lists it as uncharacterized. The transcript is spliced from 3 exons. Lineage: Eukaryota; Metazoa; Chordata; Actinopteri; Cypriniformes; Cyprinidae. The record is from RefSeq and is a predicted model, not a curated record.